This 281-nucleotide unclassified non-coding RNA is filed under the name uncultured fungus. RNAcentral's name for it is "sequence contains ITS1, 5.8S rRNA gene". The stretch from base 233 to 281 matches the Rfam family "5.8S ribosomal RNA", at positions 1 to 49 of the family's 154-position model. The record is from RNAcentral. Lineage: Eukaryota; Fungi.
UUUCCGUAGGUGAACCUGCGGAAGGAUCAUUAUCCAUCUCACCGACUGUGGUCGCGGCCUCCGGGGGUUCUCCCCCCGGGCGGUAGAGGUAACACUCUCACGCGCCACAUGUCCUAAUCCUUUCUUUACGAGCACCUUUCGUUCUCCUUCGGCGGGGUAACCUGCCGUUGGAACCCAUCAAAACUCUUUUUUUGCAUCUAGCAUUACCUGUUCUGAUACAAACAAUCGUUACAACUUUCAACAAUGGAUCUCUUGGCUCUGGCAUCGAUGAAGAACGCAGC